GUGCAGGAUAAGUUACAAUGCAGCUUGUUUGGUGCUGCUUUGUCGUUCCCCCUGCAAACAGCAACCUGUCUCCUAGCUAUCCCUGUCUGUCAGCAUCCCCAGGCAGCCAGGGACGCAAGGUCUCAGACAC
Scomber japonicus (chub mackerel) is the source of this 130-nucleotide small nucleolar RNA. RefSeq annotates it as small nucleolar RNA SNORA63. Lineage: Eukaryota; Metazoa; Chordata; Actinopteri; Scombriformes; Scombridae. The record is from RefSeq and is a predicted model, not a curated record. The transcript has a single exon.